RNAcentral lists this ribosomal RNA (253 nucleotides) under uncultured bacterium. RNAcentral's name for it is "partial 16S ribosomal RNA". It matches the Rfam family "Bacterial small subunit ribosomal RNA", at positions 524 to 776 of the family's 1533-position model. The record is from RNAcentral.
GACGAACCGUGCGAACGUUGUUCGGAAUUACUGGGCGUAAAGGGCGCGUAGGCGGCCUUCUAAGUCGAACGUGAAAUCCCCGGGCUCAACCCGGGAACUGCGUCCGAUACUGGAAGGCUUGAAUCCGGGAGAGGGAUGCGGAAUUCCAGGUGUAGCGGUGAAAUGCGUAGAUAUCUGGAGGGACACCGGUGGCGAAGGCGGCAUCCUGGACCGGCAUUGACGCUGAGGCGCGAAAGCCAGGGGAGCAAACGGG